This 593-nucleotide ribosomal RNA is filed under the name Cheilodactylus zonatus (blackbarred morwong). Its description in RNAcentral is "partial 16S ribosomal RNA". It matches the Rfam family "Bacterial large subunit ribosomal RNA", at positions 1809 to 2609 of the family's 2925-position model. The record is from RNAcentral. Lineage: Eukaryota; Metazoa; Chordata; Actinopteri; Centrarchiformes; Cheilodactylidae.
AAAAACAUCGCCUCUUGCAAAACAACAUAUAAGAGGUCCCGCCUGCCCUGUGAUAAUAAAUUUAACGGCCGCGGUAUUUUGACCGUGCGAAGGUAGCGAAAUCACUUGUCUUUUAAAUGAAGACCUGUAUGAAUGGCACGACGAGGGCUUAACUGUCUCCUUUUUCAAGUCAAUGAAAUUGAUCUCCCCGUGCAGAAGCGGGGAUAAAAACAUAAGACGAGAAGACCCUAUGGAGCUUUAGACACCAGAAUAGACCAUGUUAAACACCCCUAGAAAACGGGCUAAACCAAAUGAGACCUAUUCCAAUGUCUUUGGUUGGGGCGACCGCGGGGAAACAAAAAACCCCCACGUGGAAUGGGAGUACUACUCCUAAAACUAAGAGCUCCCGCUCUAGAAAACAGAAUUUCUGACCAAUAAGAUCCGGCAGCGCCGAUCAACGAACCGAGUUACCCUAGGGAUAACAGCGCAAUCCCCUUUUAGAGCCCAUAUCGACAAGGGGGUUUACGACCUCGAUGUUGGAUCAGGACAUCCUAAUGGUGCAGCCGCUAUUAAGGGUUCGUUUGUUCAACGAUUAAAGUCCUACGUGAUCUGAG